AUGCGUGCGAUGGGACGCGAGGCAGCAACGGCAGUGGCGUGCUCCUCCAACAAGCCCAAGCUGCGGAGAGGGCUGUGGUCGCCGGAGGAGGACGAGAAGCUCUACAACCACAUCAUUCGCUACGGCGUCGGUUGCUGGAGCUCCGUCCCAAGGCUCGCCGGGUUGGAGAGAUGUGGUAAGAGCUGCAGGCUAAGAUGGAUCAACUACCUCAGGCCUGAUCUCAAGAGGGGCAGCUUCUCCCAGCAGGAGGAGGACCUCAUCGUCAGCCUGCACAAGAUCCUCGGCAACAGGUGGUCCCAGAUAGCGUCGCAGCUGCCAGGCCGGACCGACAACGAGAUCAAGAACUUCUGGAACUCGUGCAUCAAGAAGAAGCUCCGGCAGCAGAGCAUCGACCCCACCACCCACGAACCGCUCAAUGACGCUGCCGCUGUCGCCGAGCCGCACGAUGAGUGCAAGCAGCUAGUCCCCGCUGCGGAAGACGGCGGCUCCGUUGGCAGCGACGAUCUCCUAGCGCCGCACUCCCCGGUCGACUGCAGCUUCGAUCCCAUGUCCGUGACAAACGUCCCCACAAUGCACAUGCAGGGCUCCUAUUCCUUGUGUGACCACGCCUCCACGUACUGCGCCUACACAGGCGGCGGCGACAGCUCCAGCAACAGCAACGGCACCGGCACCGGCACCAGCACCUGGACCUGCGGCAAUGUGGAGCCGCUCCCGCACAUGGACAUGUUCCGCGACGCCGAGCCGUACCCAUUCGACCCGACCAAGUUCAGCCCGUGGCACCAGCAGCACGCGCCGGACGACGACCGCGGCUCCGCGGUCUUCCCGAUCCGCUCGCUGUCCCGGGACCUGCCCGAGUCGUGCUUCGAGCUCGCCCGUGGAGCCUUGGAGGACGAGUUCGACUUCAUGUGA
RNAcentral lists this ribosomal RNA (909 nucleotides) under Triticum aestivum (bread wheat). Its description in RNAcentral is "partial small subunit ribosomal RNA". The record is from RNAcentral. Lineage: Eukaryota; Viridiplantae; Streptophyta; Magnoliopsida; Poales; Poaceae.